UACGUAGGUGGCAAGCGUUAUCCGGAAUUGUUGGGCGUAAAGAGCGCGCAGGUGGUUGAUUAAGUCUGAUGUGAAAGCCCACGGCUUAACCGUGGAGGGUCAUUGGAAACUGGUCGACUUGAGUGCAGAAGAGGGAAGUGGAAUUCCAUGUGUAGCGGUGAAAUGCGUAGAUAUCGGGAGGAACACCGGUGGCGAAGGCGGCUUUCUGGCCAGUUACUGACGCUCAUGCGCGAAAGCUGGGGUAGCGAACCGGAUUAGAUACCCCCGUACGUCCU
Molecule: ribosomal RNA, 275 nt
Filed under: uncultured prokaryote
Description: partial 16S ribosomal RNA
Rfam family: Bacterial small subunit ribosomal RNA
Source: RNAcentral